This 1416-nucleotide ribosomal RNA is filed under the name Chrysochromulina tobinii. RNAcentral describes it as "16S small subunit ribosomal RNA". It matches the Rfam family "Bacterial small subunit ribosomal RNA". The record is from RNAcentral. Lineage: Eukaryota; Haptophyta; Prymnesiales; Chrysochromulinaceae.
UCAAAGUAUUUCGACAUGCUAGUUUUUAUCAUAUCGCAAAAUGUGGUAUUGCUACAGCGGAGUAAAACAAAAAGAGUUACAUCGAUAGUACGAUAUAUUUUUUUGUAAGAUCAGGACAAAUAAUGAAGCUUAAAUUUCAUUAGUCGAAGACCUUUAACGAAUUUUCACGAAUUUCUCGUCCGAUUGGUUCUGAAACAACAACCAAAUUCAAAAGAAUCGCAGUCAAGAAUAUUGGACAAUGAGCGAAAGCUUGAUCCAGUAACUUUGAAUAGGUACAAAAAUCUUUUUUCUAACCUACAAAACUUUAAAACUAUGAUUAUUGUGUGGUAGUUGUCUCUAAUCACGUGCCAGAAGAGUCGGUAAUACGUGAGCAACAAACGUUAUGCAAAAAGACUAGGUUUACAUAGCAAUUAGAGGAAGAUAUCCCGUAGAAAGAAAACUCAACGAUUAUUGAGUUUUUAAGAAUAAAUGAUAUCUUUCGAGUAAUACCGAUGAAAAUAGAAUGAAUCAAUUAACGAUAAAAUGUGUUUAGUUGAUUUGGAAUAUCAUUCAGUGAAGACGAUUUUCUACGUAUAACAAACAAUAGAGUUUCUCUUUGUUUACUGACCUUUUUAUUGCGGAAGCUUGAGGAGCAACAAGAGUUAGUCAUUCUUUUAGUUCAAGCCGUCAACGAUGACUUUCUUUAUUCAAAACUUUUUGGAUAAACAGCAAAAGCAGAAAAGUUAACCUGAAUAGUAAAAACGCAAGUUCUAUCCUCAAAGAACUCGGUGAGCUGAGACACUAUUUGUGGAGCAUUGCGAAUUAAUUGGACAGUACACCCAAACCUUAUCUUUGCUUGUAUAAUGCGAUAUUUAAACUAGCUUUGUAAAAUGUUACAAAAUUUUCCGCAUUACAAAUGUUGCAUGGUUGUCGAGCAGAUCUUAUUUUAAAAUGUUUGGUUAAUUCCAAUAAAGAUCGAACCUUUUUUUCUUAUUUUCUAAUCUAAAGAAAAGAUUUACCAUAAGAAUAUCAAUAUCUAUAAGAUUUAUGAAAAGAAAACGACGACUAAAUCUUUAUGACUUUUAUGCGAAGAGCUUUACGUGUGCUAUAAUGAAACGAUCAAAAAGUUACUUGAUACUAUAAUUUCUGGUUAAUCUAUAAAGUGUUUCCCAGUUCGGAUUAUUUCUUGCAAUUUAGAAGUAUGAAGUCAGAAUAAAAAGUAAUGGAAGACAAGAAUGCUUCCGUGAAAAAAAACCUCUCAGUUGCACGUUUCGCCCAUCACCUCGAGAAAUUUCGUUUCGAUUGAAGCUAAAAACAAUACCUUGAAACAUCGGUAUGUUUUACUGUGACAUUGGAUCCUAUAAUUUCGAGCAAGUUGUAACAAAGUAGCUGUUGAUGAAUCAGUAGCUGGAACAAGAUUUAACAAAUCGAUUAUAA